RNAcentral lists this unclassified non-coding RNA (708 nucleotides) under Hevea brasiliensis (rubber tree). The record is from RNAcentral. Lineage: Eukaryota; Viridiplantae; Streptophyta; Magnoliopsida; Malpighiales; Euphorbiaceae.
UCUUUCACCUUUUCUAAUGCCUGUUUGGGCGGUUGCCAAUGAACAACCCCCUGGGCCAAAGACAUGGCAUUUUUCGCUCCUCGGAUCAAUUCCUGUAUCUGAACCAUGACCGGCAUCUCAGUCUCCAAAGCCCUCGUGGCAAGCUUUCCAUAGGAACCCAUCUCUGUUUUUCCUUCGACACAAAAUCAACCAAUAAUCUCUCUCACAAAUCUCAGAGAUAAGCUCUUGUUUAACCCCAAUUCUCUUUGACCCACCUGCUAAAAAGCCUCUAAGACACCCCCAAAUUUAACAACUUUUAGCACAAAAUGAUGAAGAGAGCGAUAGGUUUUGCUUUAUAAGGUUAACAAACGAGUUAGGCAAGUCUCAACCACCCCCACCAAGCAGACUACUAUAAUGUACAAGUCAGGUAUAAGAUUAGUUGCGCACGCCUCGCUGCUUCUUUGUAUGCUACUCAAGCCAAAAGGGCCAAAAUGCGUAAUCGCUAUUUGUGAGUGCUAAGUUUUUUAUUUGUUUUCCCCUUUUAUUGUUCUUUACUUUGCUUUUGUCUGUUUUCACUUCGAACGUUGACCAGCAAAGAGUGAAAGUAUAUAAUAUAAUAGAAAUUAGAAUCGAAAUCAAAAUGAUUUUGCUCUCCUAGCAAGAACAAUGAACAACAAUAUGUCUAGCAGAGACCAACAAAUUAAUAACAAAGCAAACUUUUUCUUCCCU